This 389-nucleotide non-coding RNA is filed under the name Alligator mississippiensis (American alligator). Its description in RNAcentral is "Eukaryotic large subunit ribosomal RNA". It matches the Rfam family "Eukaryotic large subunit ribosomal RNA", at positions 2447 to 2806 of the family's 3401-position model. Lineage: Eukaryota; Metazoa; Chordata; Crocodylia; Alligatoridae. The record is from Rfam by way of RNAcentral.
AAUCCUGUUUGUUGAAAUGCAGGCAGGAUGACUAGUUAAGGGACUGGCCACCUUACUGGUUUUACACUUACUUGGUGAGGUGGGGAAGGAUGAGUCCUGGGUGCUCUCAGUUCUGGCUUUAAGCAUCCAAUGCAGGCUGGACCCAACCUGCUUUGGGGACAGUGUCUGGUGGGGAGUUUGGGGUGGUACAUCUGUGAAACCAUAAUGCAGGUGUCCUAAAGUUGAGCUUAGAGAGGACAGAAACCUCUCAUGAAGCAAAAAGUUAAAAGCUUGCUUUAUCUUGAUUUUCAGUUAGGGGACAUUGAUUCUGGAAUUAGCUCUCAUCAGAAACCAAGUCUAUUACUUUCAAAGCAAGGUCUGUUGGCUUUUUUAGAUAACAAGAAAGGUGU